GCGCUUUUUCGUGGUGAUUUGCAGCAUAUUGCAGCCACGUUAAAUAAAUAGCUAAAAAGCUAAUCCAGUGAAAA
Molecule: non-coding RNA, 74 nt
Filed under: Caldithrix sp.
Lineage: Bacteria; Pseudomonadati; Calditrichota; Calditrichia; Calditrichales; Calditrichaceae
Source: RNAcentral